This 253-nucleotide ribosomal RNA is filed under the name uncultured bacterium. Its description in RNAcentral is "partial 16S ribosomal RNA". It matches the Rfam family "Bacterial small subunit ribosomal RNA", at positions 524 to 776 of the family's 1533-position model. The record is from RNAcentral.
UACGUAGGGGGCAAGCGUUGUCCGGAAUCAUUGGGCGUAAAGCGCGUGUAGGCGGCCCGGUAAGUCCGCUGUGAAAGUCCAGGGCUCAACCCUGGGAUGCCGGUGGAUACUGUCGGGCUCGAGUCCGGAAGAGGAGUGUGGAAUUCCUGGUGUAGCGGUGAAAUGCGCAGAUAUCAGGAAGAACACCCGUGGCUAAGGCGGCUCUCUAGUACGGUACUGACGCUGAGACGCGAAAGCGUGGGGAGCGAACAGG